This 465-nucleotide ribosomal RNA is filed under the name uncultured Klebsiella sp. RNAcentral's name for it is "bacterial SSU rRNA". It matches the Rfam family "Bacterial small subunit ribosomal RNA", at positions 338 to 795 of the family's 1533-position model. Lineage: Bacteria; Pseudomonadati; Pseudomonadota; Gammaproteobacteria; Enterobacterales; Enterobacteriaceae. The record is from RNAcentral.
CCUACGGGCGGCUGCAGUGGGGAAUAUUGCACAAUGGGCGCAAGCCUGAUGCAGCCAUGCCGCGUGUGUGAAGAAGGCCUUCGGGUUGUAAAGCACUUUCAGCGGGGAGGAAGGCGUUAAGGUUAAUAACCUUGGCGAUUGACGUUACCCGCAGAAGAAGCACCGGCUAACUCCGUGCCAGCAGCCGCGGUAAUACGGAGGGUGCAAGCGUUAAUCGGAAUUACUGGGCGUAAAGCGCACGCAGGCGGUCUGUCAAGUCGGAUGUGAAAUCCCCGGGCUCAACCUGGGAACUGCAUUCGAAACUGGCAGGCUAGAGUCUUGUAGAGGGGGGUAGAAUGCCAGGUGUAGCGGUGAAAUGCGGAGAGAUCUGGAGGAAUACCGGUGGCGAAGGCGGCCCCCUGGACAAAGACUGACGCUCAGGUGCGAAAGCGUGGGGAGCAAACAGGAUUAGAUACCCGAGUAGUC